GAGUUUGUCGGUUGGUCGGGCUUCACUGUCCGCACUGGCCUGAUGGAUUCCUACCUUCUGAAUAACCAGCAUGCUAUUAAGUUAGUGCGUUGGGGAAUCAGGACUGUUACUUUGAAAAAAUUAGAGUGUUUAAAGCAGGCUCACGCUUGAAUACAUUAGCAUGGAAUAAUGAAAUAGGACGUUUGAUCCUAUUUUGUUGGUUUCUAGGAUUGACGUA
This 217-nucleotide ribosomal RNA is filed under the name Campeiostachys nutans. Its description in RNAcentral is "Elymus nutans partial small subunit ribosomal RNA". The stretch from base 47 to 217 matches the Rfam family "Eukaryotic small subunit ribosomal RNA", at positions 692 to 864 of the family's 1831-position model. The record is from RNAcentral. Lineage: Eukaryota; Viridiplantae; Streptophyta; Magnoliopsida; Poales; Poaceae.